CUGAGCAAAUAGCCAAGAUCCUACUGAGAAAUUGAGCGACUGCAUUACUGCAGAGAGCAUGGAGAGUUUUCUCUGAUGACAGAGUAUUCCCUGAGCAUUCAAUGAAUCUUUUACUUUUAUCGUGGGGCUUCUAGUAAGAAAGUCAGAAUGCAAACUUUGUCCUGACUUAAUUGCAUCUGAGGAGGGUGAUGGCUGGAAGCAGCAGGAGAAAGAAGGAAGCUUAGACCAUGCGAGCUUCGUCCAGCAUCCAAUGACCUGUCCAUCUUCUCCUUCCACUGUUUUGCCUUUGGGCGACCCACUUCACAGGAUAAGAUGAGGGACACCAUGAUAUAUUCUCAGAUUUCUAUGAUUUUAUGAGAAGUCUGUGCUCAGAAUAACUUUUCACUGUUUUCUAUUGGCUCUCAGGCUUGUCAGAUGUCGCGCGCCUAACGUCUCGCCGGCAAGAAUGACGCGCGGACACCAGGAUCCUUCUGCAAUAAAGUGUUUAUUGCAUCUUGAAGAGGAGAGAGUGAGCCCCAGAAUGGCACUGCUUUAAUACAUCCUAAUGUGGCGUGUCCACGCCUGAUUGGUCGCUUACCCAUGAUAUCAUUGGCACGCCCCGGGGUGGGC
RNAcentral lists this small RNA (609 nucleotides) under Rattus norvegicus (Norway rat). Its description in RNAcentral is "uncharacterized LOC102547538". The record is from RNAcentral. Lineage: Eukaryota; Metazoa; Chordata; Mammalia; Rodentia; Muridae.